This is a long non-coding RNA of Epinephelus fuscoguttatus (brown-marbled grouper), 1676 nucleotides long. RefSeq lists it as uncharacterized. The record is from RefSeq and is a predicted model, not a curated record. The transcript is spliced from 4 exons. NCBI's taxonomy places the organism in Eukaryota, Metazoa, Chordata, Actinopteri, Perciformes, Serranidae.
UAGCCAGCUAUGAGGUCACAGAGGUCCGGACCUUGGUAAAACUUUCAAAGAGAAAAAAAUAGAAGAAGCCCCAAACAGCAUGGUAAACAUAUUAACACACCGGACAGCUUUUAUUUUGAAAUGACACGCAGGAAGUUAUCUGAUGUAUUGGCGGAAAGCUGAAAACUUGUUAGUUAAAAUUUAAGAAAAAGUUAAGUUCUUGCUAAGUAAUGUUAAUGUUAGAAGCUUUAGCUGUGACACAAUGGGUUGAAAGCUACUGACUAAUCAUGCAUGAUGUGAGCUCAUUAAGUCAGGGCCAUGCUCCCAAAGGUAACGUUAUUUAACAUUAUGCAGGUGGCUGUUUCAUGACCCAAUAAAGUUACAUGAGGUUAGGUGGUGUAGAAACUAUAUAUAUGUAGCAGGUCCCCUUUAAAUUCCAGCCACUCUCAUUUUGCCCUGCCUAGUCCUGUUAUUUUACCUGGCUGGUCACCUCUCCCCCGGGCCUUGCCAUAUAAGGAAGACGCUGUAGCAUGAGUUGACUGUGUUGCCGUUUCCAGCAGCUUAAAUACGGGGUGGGUUUUACAAUGAAAGAAUGCUGUCUUCCUGCUAAGCUGGGUGCCGUGUUGCUGCCGUCGGUCCUCCAGAACCUUUUCGCUGGUCUUGUACAAUAAUCCGCUGGUAGAUGAGAGGUUGCAUUCCCCUACCUGAGGUACAGAGUCCCCGGGACUAAGCGUGUGUGGUGUGUGACAGGUUAAAUCCCUCCUGUAGAGUUUUCUUACCUGGACUGUACUGCUGGGGGCGCCGGUUGGUUGGUGUUGCACACUUGCAUGCAGAUAAGUAUUGCACUACACUUAGGGGUGUUGGUUUGCCGUGCUUGGGUGUGUGUGUUUGUAGUUGGCUGUGUGAUUUAAGGCGGGAUCACGUGGUGGCCUAGAGUAGGAGUACCUGCAGGUCCCCCUCAGUCAGUCUUGUUAUUCAAACUUCAUGUUUUCUCUUGUUAAUAACUGUUAUCUCAUCCUUUUUUGCAGCACAGUUGUCCAGAGCCAGCAUAGCAUCGAGGAUUGUUGAAAUACUUGUUUCACAUUUUUAACUUGAACUCAUAUAAAUUAAAUUAAUAUAGGCCUAUUUUAAUUGUGAAAUAAACAUCUCUACAUUUUGAAUCUUGAAGCCACAUCUCUCAUUUUGUUACACUUAUCUGUGUGUGUACCUGUAUUUUAAAAUUGGUAUUGUAAGGGAACCCAGGCUAUGAAAAGCUUAAAGUGCCUUAUCCACCUUAGUCAGGUCACAUACAGAUAGGUAUGACAAAAAAUAUUGAACUUAUUAUGAUAUUCUAAAUUGUGGUGAUGCACCUGUUGUUGUGGUUUGUAUUUACUGCUUUUAUUUUGAUAGUAUGUUCUGGUGGUGUUUGUUUGUGGCUUUGGGUAACUUUACUUUUGUUCUCCGGAGGCACCCUUCCCACCUGCUGUGUCGAGGAGUGAUUGGACUCACCUGUUUCUGCUUUGCCAAUCAAGCUGCCUACUUUAAGCCUGCUGUGACACUCCUCGACGCCAGAGUAUACAGAGAACCUCCGUGUGCCUCCCGUGCCCUCACAGCCCAGCACUCUCUGGAUGUCUUUUGUGUUUUUGAUGGACUCUGGCAGUUACUGAUUUUUUGUGGAUUCACUCGCCCCUUUGUGCAAAUAAAUCAUUGUAAACACC